This 291-nucleotide ribosomal RNA is filed under the name uncultured bacterium. RNAcentral describes it as "partial 16S ribosomal RNA". It matches the Rfam family "Archaeal small subunit ribosomal RNA", at positions 455 to 746 of the family's 1478-position model. The record is from RNAcentral.
GUGCAGCAGCCGCGGUAAUACCGGCAGCUCGAGUGAUGGCCAUUCUUAUUGGGCCUAAAGCGUCCGUAGCUGGCCGCGCAAGUCCGUCGGGAAAUCCAUCAGCCCAACUGAUGGGCGUCCGGCGGAAACUGCACGGCUUGGGACCGGAAGGCUCGAGAGGUGCGUCCGGGGUAGGAGUGAAAUCCCGGAAUCCCGAACGGACCACCGAUGGCGAAAGCAUCUCGAGAAAACGGAUCCGACAGUGAGGGACGAAAGCUAGGGUCUCGAACCGGAUUAGAAACCCGAGUAUCC